UAAUACGUAGGUGGCAAGCGUUAUCCGGAAUUAUUGGGCGUAAAGCGCGCGCAGGUGGUUUCUUAAGUCUGAUGUGAAAGCCCACGGCUCAACCGUGGAGGGUCAUUGGAAACUGGGAGACUUGAGUGCAGAAGAGGAAAGUGGAAUUCCAUGUGUAGCGGUGAAAUGCGUAGAGAUAUGGAGGAACACCAGUGGCGAAGGCGACUUUCUGGUCUGUAACUGACACUGAGGCGCGAAAGCGUGGGGAGCAAACAGGAUUAGAUACCCUGGUAGUCCACGCCGUAAACGAUGAGUGCUAAGUGUUAGAGGGUUUCCGCCCUUUAGUGCUGAAGUUAACGCAUUAAGCACUCCGCCUGGGGAGUACGGCCGCAAGGCUGAAACUCAAAUGAAUUGACGG
Molecule: ribosomal RNA, 397 nt
Filed under: uncultured bacterium
Lineage: Bacteria
Description: bacterial SSU rRNA
Rfam family: Bacterial small subunit ribosomal RNA
Source: RNAcentral